This 813-nucleotide long non-coding RNA is filed under the name Accipiter nisus (Eurasian sparrowhawk). Its description in RNAcentral is "lncRNA (ENSANIG00000004980.1)". Lineage: Eukaryota; Metazoa; Chordata; Aves; Accipitriformes; Accipitridae. The record is from RNAcentral.
CAAGAACCUUGAUUCUUGUGAUACUCCAGUUCCUUCACUAGGGGAAAAGCAAAUACUUUGUGGAUUGUGUUAUUAGGGCACAGAGCGAGGUGGUGCCAAGGAAACCACGUGGCAGUGAAGCACACUGCAAAACAGUUCAUUUAGGAGCUGUGUUGCUCAUUAGGGAAUUAAUGACAGCCAAAAGCCAGUGAAGUUAUAAGCCAACUUCUGAUAGGAGCUGGGAGCAGUCAGCUGCUUCAGUAUGGUAUCUUCAUGCUGGAUGUGACUAUUAAUAUUCCAGGAGGCAUAAAAGGAGGAGUACAGCAGUACUGUGUUGCCGAAGAUGAAGACAUCCUCACCACAGCUGAGAAACCUCUCAGAAAGCACACUUCGGAAGGGUCCUGAGGAAGGAUAUGACAAGUUUCUGCAAGAUGUGACAUCUGAUAGACAGCCUGCUUCCAGUGACCCAGGGCCCCUGUCAGGUACAGUGACGGGUUCAGUUUUAUUGAGGAAGAAGGGAAGUCAAGUGAAGUUACCACAUUCCUGUGGCAUGAAGAAGCAGCAUGACGUUCAGAAACAAUGCCUGUAGUACUUAGUGGCCUUAAAAGAAGUGGUUAAAAGCAGGAAGGGGAACCAUUAAUUGAUACAUACAGCAGACAGGCUGUGAAGGCGACUGACACGCGGUAGGCGAGAUUUUUCAUUAGCUUCUGCCCUUCCACUGAGAUUUGCCUAGAUGUUGCAUUGCAUGCUCACCGUUCCUGCAAAAAUCCCAUUUGCUGAAAUAAGUGGGGAGAUCAUUGUCCUUCCCAUAAAUUUCCAGUCAAUCCAUAUUGU